This is a long non-coding RNA of Acinonyx jubatus (cheetah), 387 nucleotides long. RefSeq lists it as uncharacterized. The record is from RefSeq and is a predicted model, not a curated record. Lineage: Eukaryota; Metazoa; Chordata; Mammalia; Carnivora; Felidae. The transcript has 3 exons.
AAUUUUAGAACUUGAUCCUAAAACUCAUCUGGAACAGCACAGGGGCAAAAUCAGCCAAGAAAAAUGUUAAGAACGAGGUGGAAGAACCUGGAAACACAACAAAACAAUGAAGUUCCGGCAAUAACGUCAGCGUGGUAAAGGAAGAGAUAAAUUAGAACCAUGGACCCAAACGGAAAGCCGAGAAAUACAGUUACAUAUAUACGGAAAAGUCACUUAAGACAAAGUGUUACUACAUAGCAACAGCAGUCUGAAACUGAACUCCUAAUAUCUCCAAGGUGAAGGAACCACGGCUGGACGAGAUGAAGUGACUUGGCCGCAACCACACAGCAUCACUACUUUGGCUCAGCUUUUAUGCAGGUUUUAUUUGUCCCUACAUGCCUCUCCUCC